UUGAAACUCAAAGGAAUUGACGGGGGCCCGCACAAGCGGUGGAGCAUGUGGUUUAAUUCGAAGCAACGCGAAGAACCUUACCAGGUCUUGACAUCCUUUGACCACUCUGGAGACAGAGCUUUCCCUUCGGGGACAAAGUGACAGGUGGUGCAUGGUUGUCGUCAGCUCGUGUCGUGAGAUGUUGGGUUAAGUCCCGCAACGAGCGCAACCCUUGAUUUUAGUUGCCAGCAUUUAGUUGGGCACUCUAAAGUGACUGCCGGUGCAAGCCGGAGGAAGGUGGGGAUGACGUCAAAUCAUCAUGCCCCUUAUGACCUGGGCUACACACGUGCUACAAUGGAUAGUACAAAGGGUCGCGAAGCCGCGAGGUGGAGCUAAUCCCAUAAAACUAUUCUCAGUUCGGAUUGUAGGCUGCAACUCGCCUACAUGAAGCCGGAAUCGCUAGUAAUCGUGGAUCAGCAUGCCACGGUGAAUACGUUCCCGGGCCUUGUACACACCGCCCGUCACACCACGAGAGUUUGUAACACCCGAAGUCGGUAGGGUAACCUUUAUGGAGCCAGCCGCCGAAGGUGGGACAGAUAAUUGGGGUGAAGUCGUAACAAGGUAGCCGUAUCGGAAGGUGCGGCUGGAUCACCUCCUUUCUAAGGAA
RNAcentral lists this ribosomal RNA (646 nucleotides) under Listeria monocytogenes. RNAcentral describes it as "bacterial SSU rRNA". It matches the Rfam family "Bacterial small subunit ribosomal RNA", at positions 894 to 1533 of the family's 1533-position model. Lineage: Bacteria; Bacillati; Bacillota; Bacilli; Caryophanales; Listeriaceae. The record is from RNAcentral.